Molecule: RNA transcript, 951 nt
Organism: Poecilia latipinna (sailfin molly)
Lineage: Eukaryota; Metazoa; Chordata; Actinopteri; Cyprinodontiformes; Poeciliidae
Gene name: protein FAM26D-like
Exons: 3
Source: RefSeq, a predicted model, not a curated record
CCGAGCCACGCCACCAAGAAGGAGAUUUUUAACUUCAGAUCUUGUCACAGGUUUUUGUGCUGACAAGAUGAACAUAGCAGCAGUAAAACAAUGGCUCUCAGCAGUGAAGGGACAACUUGAGAAGAAUCCUCUGGCAUCAAACAUUGGCUUUGCACUGAUCCUUCUCUGCUUUGAGAAAAUUGUAGAGUUGGAGUUUGUUUGUCCCUGUCAGUCGAAACUGAAUGCCGUCUCUGCUUUAUCAUUUUUCUCAGCUCCAGCUUUAAUUGUCUUUCUGCUCAUGCUUAGUACUGAACAUCCAUGUAAAUCGUGUAAAUCAUUUGUGGAAACUGUCCUUCAUGGUCUAGUUCCUGCUGUAACCUGGUGUAUAAUAUUGUUCAUGGAUGGACGUUAUUACGCCUGUUUUUGGACCAACUGGUCAGGACACUAUGAAACCAGUGAGACUGCUUCCCCUCUGAAAUGGUGUAAACCAGCUAAUUUGUCUCAUGGAGAGGAGAUCCAGACUCUGGAGUGGUACGCCACGUCUCAGGUCAUUGGACUCUGGGUUGCAGUUAUUCUCACUGCAGUUUUUAAGCUCUAUUUGUUCUGUAAGUCCUUCUGCUGCAAACAUCAAGAAGGAACAGACGAUGCAAAUAACGCUCAAGACAUCCAUCUACAGGUGCAGAACAGCGGAUGACAGAAAUUCAGAAAAGAAAACAAGGACAUCUGGGGGGGAAAAAGGAAUACCAAUUUGAACAGUCAGACAAAAUGCAGAAAAUCUAGAGUAACGUUAAAACAUGUUCUAGUUGGAUGCAAACAAUUAUUUAAGUGCUACGGCGGAUAAUAAAACAUUUGAAAGAUAUACUAAAUUUACUUCUAGUUAUAACAAAACAAUUUCUCUACUUUCAAGAUGUUAUGUUAAAUGGUUUGUUUUCUUAAAGGAUAUUUCCUGUUUACAUAAUUCAUUGUAUUAUA